UAUGGUCAAGCUAAAAAGGGCAAACGGUGGAUGCCUUGGCGGUAGGAGGCGAUGAAGGACGUGGUUAGCUGCGAAAAGCUUCGGGGAGUUGCUAAACGAGCGUUGAUCCGGAGAUAUCCGAAUGGGGAAACCCGGCCAGGGUCAUGCCUGGUCAUCCUGCACUGAAUACAUAGGUGUAGGAAGCAAACCCGGGGAACUGAAAUAUCUCAGUACCUGGAGGAAGAGAAAUCAAUUGAGACUCCCUGAGUAGCGACGAGCGAAACGGGAAUAGCCCAAACCGGCGGGAAGCAAUUCCUUCCGGGGUUGUAGGACCUCAAUGUGAGACUUUGAUGGAUAGCGGAAUGGUCUGGAAAGGCCGGCCAAAGAGGGUGAAAGCCCCGUAUGCGAAAUCUUGAUGAGCUCUAGAGUGUUCCUGAGUACCACGGGGCACGGGAAACCUUGUGGGAAUCUGGGUGGACCAUCAUCCAAGGCUAAGUACUACCUACCGACCGAUAGUGAACUAGUACCGUGAGGGAAAGGUGAAAAGAACCC
This 531-nucleotide ribosomal RNA is filed under the name Deltaproteobacteria bacterium. Its description in RNAcentral is "bacterial LSU rRNA". It matches the Rfam family "Bacterial large subunit ribosomal RNA", at positions 1 to 526 of the family's 2925-position model. The record is from RNAcentral. Lineage: Bacteria; Pseudomonadati; Myxococcota; Myxococcia.